Molecule: transfer RNA, 69 nt
Filed under: Neurergus strauchii (Anatolia newt)
Lineage: Eukaryota; Metazoa; Chordata; Amphibia; Caudata; Salamandridae
Description: tRNA-Gly
Rfam family: tRNA
About the family: Transfer RNA (tRNA) molecules are approximately 80 nucleotides in length.
Source: RNAcentral
GUCUUUUUAGUACAACCAGUAUAAAUGACUUCCAAUUAUUUGACCUUAGUUAAAAUCUAAGAAAAGACA